GGCGUGCACCGCCUAACACAUGCAAGUUCGAGCGGAAAACAACAAGGGAAGCUUGCUCCUGAGGUGUCGAGCGGCGGAACGGGUGAGUAAUGCUUGGGAAAACUGCCCAGUCGUGGGGGACAACCAUUGGAAACGAUGGCUAAUACCGCAUAACGCCCUACGGGGGAAAGAAGGGGACUCUUUCGGAGCCUUUCGCGAUUGGAUGUGCCCAAGUGGGAUUAGCUAGUUGGUGAGGUAAGAGCUCACCAAGGCGACGAUCCCUAGCUGGUUUGAGAGGAUGAUCAGCCACACUGGAACUGAGACACGGUCCAGACUCCUACGGGAGGCAGCAGUGGGGAAUAUUGCACAAUGGAAGAAACUCUG
RNAcentral lists this ribosomal RNA (363 nucleotides) under barotolerant proteobacterium LX9. Its description in RNAcentral is "bacterial SSU rRNA". It matches the Rfam family "Bacterial small subunit ribosomal RNA", at positions 45 to 385 of the family's 1533-position model. The record is from RNAcentral. Lineage: Bacteria; Pseudomonadati; Pseudomonadota; Gammaproteobacteria.